This 3188-nucleotide long non-coding RNA is filed under the name Canis lupus familiaris (dog). RNAcentral describes it as "lncRNA (ENSCAFG00000054621.1, ENSCAFG00845018679.1)". The record is from RNAcentral. Lineage: Eukaryota; Metazoa; Chordata; Mammalia; Carnivora; Canidae.
AUUUUUCAUAUUGGAAAACUGUAAUAAAUAAUGAUAAAAGGAAAAAAAUAAUGAUAAAAGGGAUCUGAAAACUGUAAAAGAAUUUCUGCCCCUCCUAGUGAUUUCCAGUUUCCUCUGGGGAACUGAGAGGACUUGGGGGUGUGAUUGCAAGGCUAGAGCCGAUAAUCACUGAAGGGGAAAGUCCCGAACUUGACAUUAAUCCUAGCAAUCAGUUUGAACUGAUUACUAAGGAGAUGGUUUUUUUAAACAAGGAAAAAUGAAACUAGGGAGAACUGUAUAGCAACACAAGAUCCCUAAGAAAACUUUUACUAAACUUUCUGAAUUCCAGACGUAAUCCAUUAGAGAUAACAGCAUUUAUAGCAUCUAUAUGAACAGGUUGGAGAAACAAAGAAUGAUCAAAUGAAAGCAUAUAGCAUAUGAUUACUCCAUGUAUAGCAUAAGCUGGUAAUCCAUUCAUUUCUCAAUAAAUUUUUAGAAUUGUAAUCUUUUUAAAACAAAAAGAGAAGUAUUGUUGUAGUCUGAACUUCUAAAUUUUUAAUUUCUUUUAGUUUUUAUUUAUUUUUAAGAUUUUAUUUGAGAGAGAAAGCAUGAGCGGGGGAGGGGCAGAGAGAGAGUGAGAGAAACAAGCAGACUCCCCACUGAGCGAGAAGCCCAAUGCAGGGCUUGAUCCCAUGAACCCUGAGUUCAUGACCUAAGCUGAAGUCAGAUGCUUAACUCAACUGAGCCACCCAGGCACCCCCUGAACUUUUUUAAUUAAAGGAGAGAUACAAUUGUAUUCAGGAGAUACUGAUAUGAAUCACUGACAGUGAGAAGACUUUUUCUCCCCCAGUAGUCUGAUGGUCAUUGAGGGAGUCAGGGGUGAGAGAUCAGUGGAACAGAGGUGGAGCUCAGACAAGAGGCUCCCAUCUCAAAAAAAUCCCCGAUGCCUUUGGCCCAGGGCGCCAUCCUGGAGACCUGGGAUCAAAUCCCACAUCGGGUUCCCGGUGCAUGGAGCCUGCUUCUCCCUCUGCCUGUGUCUCUGCCUCUCUCUCUCUCUGUGACUAUCAUAAAUAAAUAAAAAUUAAAAAAAAAAAAACUUAAAAAAAAAUCCCCGAUGAAUUGAUUAGUAAUGGUGUGAAUAGGGAUUUUUCACUUUGCACUGGUUUGGUGGUGUGUGUGUGUGUGUGUGUACAUAUGCUAAUUUUAAGCAAUUGAUUCAGUGAAAUAAAUUAGUGUAUUACUAAUUAGUAUGUCAGACUAUUACUGAAAGUUGUUAUGAGCAGAGGUUUUCAAACUUAUAUAGAUUCUCAGGCCUCACUCUAGGCCUUUGAGUCAGAAUCUUUGAGAGUAGAAUCCUAAUUUAUACAUAUAUAUGUAAUAUAUAUAUAUAUAAUUUAUCAAUAUAUAUUUAUUUCAAUAUAUAAUUUAUAUGUAUUUUUUAAUUUAUUUUAAAGACAGAGAGCAUGAACAGGAGGAGCAGAGGGAGAGGAAGGGAGAACCUGAGGCAGACUCUGUGCUGAGUGAAGAUUCUGAUGCAGGGGCUCAAUCUCAUUACCCUAAGAUCACAACCUGACCUGAAAUAAAGGGCCGGGAGCUUAACUGACUGCACCACCCAGGCAUCGCCCCCCUAGUUUCUAUAUAUUUGAGUCUUACAAUCACCCAGGUUUGGGCUAGGUAGAAAUAAAUGGAUGUGUCUGUUUCCCAUCCUUCAGGUGACACUGGCAUCAGGUCAUUUCUGUUCAACUGCACUGAGGUAACAAGAGUGUCCAGGGGUGGCUCCUGGAAGAGCUCUUCAGACAAUGAACUCCCUGGAGACAUAGCAGACUCAGUGUGAACUCUCCACAGAAUUGGAAAACAUGUUCAGAGGGACUUCAUUUCUAGAUUUGCCUGUUUUAACCCAAGAAUCCAGUGACAUAUAUUCUCCAAAAACCUUUCCUGCUUCCUCCUCUGGAUGCCAACAAUCACAACACAAAAUGUUCCUGGGCUGGCACUGCCUGUGUAUGGAAAUGGGACUGGGGGCACACCAAGGGAGUCAAGCUCAGGAAAGACCCCUGAUCAGCAUGGUUUCUGCUUUCACUAACAGCACAUCACACAUGGUUUUGAAGGUCUAGUGUUUCAGGGAGGUCUCUAAUCUGGAAGGCCUUGCUGAAAGGAAGGGAUGCUCAUAAGAUUGGCUCUCUUUUUGAAAACAAAAAAGACUGGCCAGAUUGACAAAGGGGUAGGGAGUCUUCCUCAAAGAUGGAUUCUUCACCAUCUUAUGACUAGCAGAGAAUUUUACCCUGAUCACCUCUGUGUUCACUUCUGUUCCUUCCAAUCCCCAAACCUCCGUAGCUUAACAUAACAAAGGUUACCAUCUCAUUCACAUCACAGUGUCCUGUACCCCACAUAGGUCUAUGGUCCACAGGGUCAUUCAGGGACUCAGGAUCUUUCCUUCUCACUGUGUUACCAUUUCCUAGGGUCUCAGAUUCUCUACUGGAGUCUUUGCCUUAGACCAGAGGGUGAAGAAUGAGAAAAUAAUGUGGAGGAUCCAUGAGAGCUUUGUUGUGGGCGAAGCUUGAGAAUUCUGGUAGCCAGAACCCAGUUUUGUGGCCUUACUAACUUUAAGGGAGUCUAAGAAAUGUAGGCUAGCUAAGCGCUUAGGCAAAAAUAGAAAUAGCUUUUGGUGAACAUGUAUAUAGUGUUUGCCAGAGUUUGUCACUCUGGCAGCUUUAAAGAUGAGAUGAGAAUGGCACUUUCAUCUAUGGUUUACCUCCCCAAACCCAUAACCCCCAUCUAAUUAUGAGACAAAUACCAUAUAAACCCCAAGUGAAGAAUAUUCUACAAAAUGCCUAACAAGUAUUCCCCAAAACUGUCAAAGUCAUCAAAAACAAGAAAAGUCUGAACUAUCAUAGCCAAGAGAAGCCCCAGGAGAUAGGACAAGUAAACGUAAUGUGCUAUCCUGGUUGGGGUCCUGGAACAGAAAAGGACAGUAAGUGAAAACCAAGGAACUAUGACUAGAGUAUGGACUCCUAUUAAUAAUAAAGUAUGAAUAUUUGUUUAUUAAUUGUGACAAAUGUACUUCAUUAGUAUAAAAUGCUAACAAUAGUGGAAAUUAGGCCUGGAGCAUGUGGAAAUGCUCUGUAUUUCCUUCAAAACUUUCUUAUAAAUCUAAAAUAGUUUUAAAAUAAAAACUUUUAACAUUUUUUUAAAAAGUGACUGCCAAAAAAAAC